CCAAUCCUGACACAGGGAGGUAGUGACAAGAAAUAACAAUACGGGGCUUAAUGUCUUGUAAUUGGAAUGAUGGGAAUUUAAACCUCUUCCAGAGUAUCAAUUGGAGGGCAAGUCUGGUGCCAGCAGCCGCGGUAAUUCCAGCUCCAAUAGCGUAUAUUAAAAUUGUUGCAGUUAAAAAGCUCGUAGUUGAAUUUCUGCUGCAUUGCAUCUUCUUUUUGAUGAGUUGGUGUAUUGUGGCUUAUUUCGGAUGAUACUUGUAUUAUCCGGAUGAUUACUUUGAGAAAAUUAGAGUGCUCAAAGCAGGCUUUUGCCUUGAAUAGUUUAGCAUGGAAUAAUAAAGUAGGACUUUGGUUCUAUUUUGUUGGUUUUAGGUACCAAAGUAAUGGUUAAUAGGAACAGUUGGGGGU
This 407-nucleotide ribosomal RNA is filed under the name Theileria luwenshuni. RNAcentral describes it as "SSU rRNA". It matches the Rfam family "Eukaryotic small subunit ribosomal RNA", at positions 445 to 889 of the family's 1831-position model. Lineage: Eukaryota; Apicomplexa; Aconoidasida; Piroplasmida; Theileriidae. The record is from RNAcentral.